UGAGGAAUAUUGGUCAAUGGGCGAGAGCCUGAACCAGCCAAGUAGCGUGCAGGAUGACGGCCCUAUGGGUUGUAAACUGCUUUUAUGUGGGGAUAAAGUGCGUGACGUGUCAUGCAUUGCAGGUACCACAUGAAUAAGGACCGGCUAAUUCCGUGCCAGCAGCCGCGGUAAUACGGAAGGUCCGGGCGUUAUCCGGAUUUAUUGGGUUUAAAGGGCGCGUAGGCUGUCUAUUAAGCGUGUUGUGAAAUAUACCGGCUCAACCGGUGGCUUGCAGCGCGAACUGGUCGACUUGAGUAUGCAGGAAGUAGGCGGAAUUCCUGGUGUAGCGGUGAAAUGCUUAGAUAUCAUGACGAACUCCGAUUGCGCAGGCAGCUUACUGUAGCAUAACUGACGCUGAUGCUCGAAAGUGCGGGUAUCAAACAGG
RNAcentral lists this ribosomal RNA (424 nucleotides) under Verrucomicrobiota bacterium. RNAcentral describes it as "Verrucomicrobia bacterium partial 16S ribosomal RNA". It matches the Rfam family "Bacterial small subunit ribosomal RNA", at positions 355 to 776 of the family's 1533-position model. Lineage: Bacteria; Pseudomonadati; Verrucomicrobiota. The record is from RNAcentral.